GGCCUCCUCGAUUUCCUCCCCACACUUCCUCGUUCCCCAUUAUCUCCACCGCCUUGAGCCUCUCUUUGCAGCUGCCAGCGGCAUCCUUGCCCAGGGCCGCCGCCCUCCUCCCCCUCCCUGACACGUCUGACGGCGUCGACUCAUCCUCUUUCGUUUUCGCACUACUGAGGUGCUCGGCCAGACCCCUAGGAACGCGCCCGCGGAACCCUAGCCUUAUGAGGAGGAUGAGCAUCUUCACGCGAUGAGACCCGUCGCUAUAGGCUCCGCCAGGAGGCCCAGAACGCCUUCGCCGAGCUCAAGAAGGCGGGGCAUGGGGAGAGUUGCGGUGGUGGCCGGGACCAUGGAUCCGGCGCGUGGGCUGCAGCUUGCGGUGGAGGCUUCCUCUGCCAUCGAUGACAAGGAAGAAGCAGAGGGCACGGACUGGGUGGGGAUUGAGAGAACCCGUCGACGCCUCGACGGUGGUGGUGGGGACGAGUAUGGCUCGGAUUGCUGCUGCAGCCAACGCACAGUCUCGCCCCUACCCUGAGUUCUUCUCCGGCCGAGCUCCCCGCCUUCCAAGGUGUCCUGAGGGCUUCCCUUCGAAGAUCCCUGUGGUCGUCGGCCUUCUUUUCCUCCGGCCAAUACCUAUGGAUUCUCGCCGGUUCUCUCCGCCAGCGGCCUGGGUACGGGCGCCACGGCAGGUGCGUUGUCUCCGCGUUCCCAGAUGGUCGUUUCCGCCCUACCCCGGCCGACGCCCGACGACUACCCCGCAGGCACGGUCACCGCCUCCACUGGUUUCCCGUCCUACCGCCACGCACUGCGGUGGCCCUGCUCCGCUGCCCUUCUGGAUGCCGACCUGGGCGACGCCUGGUCACAUCCCAGUCACACGCGGGCACUGCUGCCCCUCUUUCUCUCUCUAACCUGUCCAGGCAAAGAUGGAGAGUCGUCGACGGGGUGGCCAAGGACAAGAUCUCCAAGUUGCUUGGCCUGAGCACGCUCCAAGGGUCCAAGCACAACACCGCGCGAGACCGCCCCUGUCUGCGUGUGCAGGACUGGAGGAUAACGGCAAGGAGUUGGGUGACCAGGCCUGAUGAAACUCAGUUUCUAGGGUUUACAGUUCCCGUGCAUAAGGCGAAGCUAUUACUGGCCAAGAAGACUCAGUCCUUGUGGGCGAGUCUAGGGUCGUUGAGCUUACCACGAAUUAAGUAAAUAUACGAAUCGUUCUUCUAGGUUUACUCCGGUGAGCCAACAAACAAAGUGACCGAUGCAACCUGAAACUGCACCGACAAACCAGCAAGCUCCUUCACUUGACAGGGGAAAACAAAAUAUUUGUUCUUCUUUGCAAAAUAAUAUGUAUAAAUGAUCAGUGAGGUAGCGCUUGCCAAUGAAAUCAAGUUCUUGCUACUGUUGUUGACAGAACCAUACUGUUUUUCCUGUUUAAUCACAGAGUCCUGCUUGAUAAAAAAAACUUACGGGUAACAACAGUUGUACACACCAUAUUCUAACAGGAAUGAAAUAUCAACAGUAAUGGAGAAGGUGAUAAAUUAAUUGGGAUCUUCCGUUCAACAUGGUGGAGCUGGUGUACAACAUCUGAUACAGCUUGAAGCCUCUCUCUCUCUCAUAUUGAAUAUUCGGAUGCAGCAUCAUCUGUACGUGUACAUCCAUCAGGUACAUGUUUAAAGUUCAAUGCAUAGAGCAAGCAAGCCGCUCAAUUCUAUAAUUUAGUUAACAUUGCGUGCAUAUAGUUUGGCUGCAAUUCUUAAUCCUUUUGUUGUGAACCUUUCAUGUUUUUGAAGUUCUAGGCACUAAAUAAUCUUACUACACAUGCUGGUUGGAUCCUAUUUGUUUCAUACAAUUCUAGGCACUAAGAAGGAAUGUAUAUUUCUAGAUACCUACACAUAAGUGGCUGAAGCUUUUGCAUGAUAAAAUGGAUUUGCCUAAUGAUAAGUUUUGAGAGAUAGGAAAUUUGUGGCGACGGCCACCCAUCGUCCAGGCUGCUCAAGCAUGCCCUGUUUUUAUGGCCUCGGCCCUAACAUCUAUACACAUUCUACUCUAUGAUCAGUACUUGAGUACCUCACUUGGAAAUACAAUGCGCACAUUUUUCUGUCUUAUGUUAAACUGCCAAUUUUGCAGAUGCAGGUUGUGUUAUACAUAUGUUAUUUCAGAGUUUUGUUUGACAGGUUUUGAGAGCUUGCCUCAUCUUUUUGUAAGAAUGAAGGGCUGAAGUAUUUUAGAGCUUUAUGUGCUCUACCUUCUUGCAUUUCCUAUCAAUAUCACUAUUUCAAGUCAUCAUUCCUUUAUGGUCAUAAGAAAGUUCUCCAGCCCAGUUAAUCUAGCUCUCUUUGUCAACACCUACCAAUCCCCUCUUGCAGGCUCUCUUUCCCUACAAUUUUCUCUGUCGACAACCAUGUUCUCCUUUUCUCCAACUAAAGGGAUACUUGCAGCCUAGACUCCCCUACAAAUCAGGAAAGUGUAUUUUCAUCUCAAAUUUCGCACCCAGGACAAUUUUUAUUUCAGAUCAUCGGCUUUGUCUUAACUUUCCUUAAUAUGUCAGGAAAGUGAAGAUAUACUUGUUUCAGAACUUUUCGCUAAUUUGACUAUUCAACCUUGGCCAUUUUGUGUCACUCCAAAAGAAGAUUCCCAUAUGCCUGUACACCACUAAAUGUUUGGCAUAUAUAAUUCAAUGUACGAAUUUUACAAUUUGCACUAAAAUGAAAUGCGUGUUUCUUAUAUGUAGAAUCGGAUAGAUGAAUUGUUACGACAUUUUGUUGUUUGAUGCUCCCAAAAAUUGAUUUAUUCUCUUAACAUGUAGUAGCAUAGUACUAUUCAGCAAAUAUCACCGCAGAUACUCUUUUAUUCGAUCAACCAUGGAGGUUGAAAGUACAUAUUUUCAUGUGUAAGCAUGGACAUUCAGUGCAUUAUCGUUGCUAGAAAUCUCUUCCAUCAUCUCUACCACCCACCUCCCAAACUCUAUGCCUAUCGACACUUAUAUAAAAGAAACAGAGGUUUGUCCACUCCAAAUGUUUUUGUAGUUCGCUUAAAUAUGUGGUUUAAUUUAGAAGUGGACCCAGCACUAAGUAUGGCACAUGUGAUUGUCGAUUUAUCAUGGCAGUUUCCUCUGAUUAUAUUUAUUUUUGCUGAUCAAUGGUUAUCUACAUAAAACAAUAUGGCCAUGUUGUUUCUACCAAAAUAAUUUUAACUUCCUGCUGUAAUAAUAUGGUCAUGUUGUUUUUCUUCUUUUUAAUUCUACCUGCAUGUUUCCUUCUGAAAAGAUUACUGAAAGUGGUCACAAUUGCAAUUAUCUGCUACGGGACAUAUACAUUUGGGCUCAUAUUAGAUAGGUAAUAGAAACUUAAACUUGACACAAGGAAAAUUUUAUAUAAUUUUCCACACUGCUACUGUCAGAGCAUUUUCAUAUUUGGAGUGCGUUUACAUAUUAGUUAAUCAAUUCUAGCAAAGGUAUGUUAUGGUCCGUUCAUUUGCCAGUACAUCUUGGAACUCCCACUAUAUUCCCAUGAAUUAAGAGGACCCUAGCCCAUAUGUGAUCAUUUUUGUGAGGGCACUACUUAUGCACGCUAUAGCUUUUACCCAACAUAGUUAGUACCAUUCCCGUAAAAAAACAUAGUUAGUACCAUUAGCUUUUUGAUAACCCUAGACUCUCAAGGAAUCUAUCUAGCCAUCCAGGUCUCACGACAUAAUCCAUCCAAGUGGUUUCCAUUUCCUUCACGAGUCAUGCAAUACUUGAAGCUAUAUUGUUGUAUAGUUAGUUCAUGUUAUUAGGGAAAAUUAAGCAAGCUAUAGAUGUCCAAGAUACCUUACCUUUGCAAAGUAUAUCUCAGAUAAAUGAAGUCAAUAUAAUUUUUAUGAUACC
Molecule: long non-coding RNA, 3850 nt
Organism: Lolium perenne
Lineage: Eukaryota; Viridiplantae; Streptophyta; Magnoliopsida; Poales; Poaceae
Source: RefSeq, a predicted model, not a curated record